UGUCGUGUCGAUAGCAUAGAGGGCACACCUGUUCCCAUACCGAACACAGAAGUUAAGCUCUAUAGCGCCGAAAGUAGUUGGAGGAUCGCUUCCUGCGAGGAUAGGACGAUGCGGUGC
RNAcentral lists this ribosomal RNA (117 nucleotides) under Leuconostoc falkenbergense. Lineage: Bacteria; Bacillati; Bacillota; Bacilli; Lactobacillales; Lactobacillaceae. The record is from RNAcentral.